UGGGGGAUAUUGCACAAUGGGGGGAACCCUGAUGCAGCGACGCCGCGUGAAGGAGGAAGUAUUUCGGUAUGUAAACUUCUAUCAGCAGGGAAGAAAAUGACGGUACCUGACCAAGAAGCUCCGGCUAAAUACGUGCCAGCAGCCGCGGUAAUACGUAUGGAGCAAGCGUUAUCCGGAUUUACUGGGUGUAAAGGGAGCGCAGGCGGCGCUGCAAGCCAGAAGUGAAAAUCCGGGGCCCAACCCCGGAAGUGCUUUUGGAACUGCAGUGCUGGAGUGCAGGAGAGGCAGGCGGAAUUCCUAGUGUAGCGGUGAAAUGCGUAGAUAUUAGGAGGAACACCAGUGGCGAAGGCGGCCUGCUGGACUGUAACUGACGCUGAGGCUCGAAAGCGUGGGGAGCAAACAGG
RNAcentral lists this ribosomal RNA (404 nucleotides) under uncultured bacterium. RNAcentral describes it as "bacterial SSU rRNA". It matches the Rfam family "Bacterial small subunit ribosomal RNA", at positions 355 to 776 of the family's 1533-position model. The record is from RNAcentral.